AACUGGGUGGGCAGUGGUGCUUCAUUUGCUUUGUUGGGAGUUUGAGCAAUCAUCUUCCUCAUAUUACAUAUUUAUUCUUCUCUCUAUUGUUUAAGUUAGAGAUCCUUUAUUUUUAUUAUUAAUAUUAUUUAACACCCCCCUCCCCCCUUUCCUCUCCUCUCUUUUCUUUAGGGCCCUCCUCACAAGCAUGGGGAGGGUUGGUGGUCUGGAAGGUUUUGGAACAUAGUAAUCUCCCA
This 236-nucleotide unclassified non-coding RNA is filed under the name Hevea brasiliensis (rubber tree). Lineage: Eukaryota; Viridiplantae; Streptophyta; Magnoliopsida; Malpighiales; Euphorbiaceae. The record is from RNAcentral.